GAAGCUGGAUGUCCUGGUGUGGAGAUCUCGCAUACCCCCAUACCAUAACUACACUAUGAGGUGUGAGAUAGAGGCAGCACAAGAGAUGAUGUCCAAGAAGAAGCGGCCUCACUCCAUGGUGUAAUUCAGGUCAUCUGCAAAUGAGCACACAACCUCAGUUUGUUGCUAUUCACUUCAUUGGCAGGUUUUAUUAUUGCAAUCAAAUUUGAAUGGUGAUAUGCAUAAUAGGAUCUAUCUGUUUCUUGCAAUGAGCUCUUUUUUCUUAUUUUAUAUCAAAUAGGUUACGCACUCUGCUAAUCCUUUGCAGUUUGUAGUUCAGUUUAUGUGCAUUUGUCCUCUGUACGCAGCAGUUUGUAACCUGGGCGACAAGACUCUCAUAGGAAACUACAACUCAUGAGAAAAUACAAUCAUAUUCAGUGACUUAUGUGCAGUGCAGAAAUGCAUGAUCUGACCUCGGAAUAUACAGAGACUAUGAUGGCUUGUUUCGUUUCGUUUAACUUCCUGUGAAAUUCCUGCUUUCCAAAUGCAGCAUUAGUUUGGCCCAGUAGAAAACAUAUAGUAAUCACAGAGAAACUCGCAGGAAUCUACCCAGCCCUCGUGUAAGAAUUAGUCAACAAUUGGAGGCAACAAAGGACUGGUCCAUUAAUACAUCAUGGUGGAAAAUGUUGCGUCUAGAUAAUGUGUGAACAUGACGACUCCUUGCAGCUUAUCUUACAGCAUUUAGGUAGCUCGCCUGGCAGUUAGAGGCCAGAGAUGAACUGAAAACAGGAACUCAAAUCAAACAUCGUAAUGGAAACGUUCAUUUCUGCAAUCCUUGGUGAUCUUUUCAGCAGAUCAGUAUCUUUUGUCCUCAACAAUUACCAUCUACGGCGGCAGAAGGGCGUCAAGGACAACCUGCAAGAGCUGCGCUGCGUGUUGCUGCGCAUCCAGGCCACCGCGGAGGAGGCUGAGGGGCGGCACAUCACCAACCAGGCCAUGCUCCAUCAGCUCCAGAUGCUGAGAGAAGCCAUGAACAAAGGCUGCUACCUGCUUGAUAAUUUCACAUACCGGAUGCUGCAGCAGGAGAGUUCCAAUGUUCAGGUUAGCGACCACCCCUUUCCCCUGUCCAAAUUCAAUCCAGCAAAGGGCCUGCGCUUCUCUACCAGGAGGAUGAUCGUUGCAUUUCAAGGUGAUGGGGCGAAGGAGGUUCAGAAGAUGCUAGGAAGCUUGCAUAGCAUAAUCAGCGAUAUGGCAGAGUUCAUCAUCUUCUUGAAAUCAUAUCCUCCCAUAAGCCGCGAGCCUUAUAGCAAGCACUUGUUUCUGGAGAACUGCAUGUUUGGCCGCCAGACAGAGCUGGAGAAGAUCAUCAGUUUCUUGUUGCAGCCAGAGCCUCCAGGCACAGAAAGAUUGCAAGUGUUACCCAUAACUGGUCCACCGAGAGUUGGUAAAAGCACCCUUGUUGAACAUGUAUGUUAUGAUGAGAGGGUGCGCAAUCACUUUUCCACAAUUAUUCUAUGUAGAGAUCCUACUGCUCCAGAAGGCAGUGGUGUGGUCAAGAAGCAAAGUCAUAGUUUACAUGGAAGAUCACUAAUUGUCAUGGAGCUUGCUGAUGAUUUGGUUGUAGAUGAAAGGCAAUGCAGAAACUUCUACUCUUCAAGAAACCACAUGUCACCUGGAAGUAAAGUUAUUGUGACAAGCAGAUCAGAGAAUAUAAUGAAACUUGGUACUACAGCAGCUCUUAAGUUGGAUUUUUUAUCUCAGGAAGCUUACUGGUACUUCUUCAAAGUGAUGGCUUUUGGAAGCACAAAUCCUGAUGACCACCCAGCGCUAGCAUCAAUAGCUAUGGAAAUUGCAGCAGGGCUUCAAGGAGGUUUCUUGGGUGCACAUGCCAUCUGCGGCUUUCUAAGAGCUAAUAUCCACAAUUGGUUUUGGAACAUGAUCCUUGAAUGUCAGAGAAACAAUAUAGAGAGGAAUAUCCUCAUCUUUGGUGAACAUCCACAGUCUCUUCUUUGGAAGAGCCAGAUUGCAUAUGUUUGGACUCUGUCCAACAUUUCCGUGAGGGUCAAAGUUCUUCAUUUUCAAACACGUUCCCCUCUGAAUGAUGUCCGAAAAUAAUGUUGCAUGAAGUCCACACAAGUGCAAAAGCUCAUGGGAAGCUGGACGUCCUGGUGUGGGAAAUCGGGGCAUACCCCCAUAUCACAGCUACAUUAUGAAGUGUGAGAUUGAGGCACCAGAAGACAUGAUGGUCAAGAAGAAGCGCCCUCCUUCUUAUCUGCAAAUAUGAACAUUUCCUUGAUGUUGAAUUCAUUGGCUGUUUUCAUCGUUGAGAUCAAAUAUCAAAUGUGAAGGGUGACGUUCAAAUACACCACUAGUGAACAAAUCUAUCUGUUUCUUACAGUGAUCUCUUCUCCAUAUUUUUUCUAUAAAUUAAAGUGCAAGCUCUGCUCUUGUAAAUGCUUUGUUGUUGAGUUGUUGUAAAAUGCAAGCUCUGACAUUCCUUUGUAGUUAGUACAUAUCAUUCAGCCUGUGUGCAGACAUACUUUAUAUUUCCUGUACCCAGUAGUUUGUAAUCAGGGUGACAAGACUCUGACUGGUGGAGAAUAUCAUUAUAUUCACACAUAUUUAAAAAACUCGAACCUGAACCUGCUGUAUGCUAUUCAUGUGCUCUAACCAUUGGACUAGAUAUCUUUUUGCCGCUCCUUAUUUUGUGGACGGAGGUAGUAGAAAUGUACGAUAUGAUCUCAAAAUAUAUAUAAAAAAGGCAUUGUGGGAUUGUUUAUAUUCACUAAGGUCUGUAUUACUGCCUGCAGAAUUUCUGCUUUCCAAACAUGGCCUUCAUUUGGCCCACUAGAAACUAUAUAAUGUUCUAUCUUCCCUGCUCACAUUGUCAUAACUCAGAGCAAAUCGCCCCUAAGCUACAACACUCGUUCCUCCAUUCAUCAUUUUAUUCAUUAACGCCUAUCAAAUUUUUAAAUUUACUCUAGAAUUCUGGAUCUUUAAUUGGACAAUGGAAAAAGGGAAAAACUGUUUUAUUUAAUAUAUGCAUAAAAAAUCACAAUAAAAAAGAUAGGUGGAAUGCACCUGCGGUAGUCACUCUGGUUAUUUACAUUUUGUUCACCCUCUAUUUAACAAAACAACAUACUGUUCACCAGGGGAAUCAUAUCUAAAUUCUAAUGGUCCAAUCCAUGUGCACACCACUUGCCACAUCUCAAGUAAAAUUGCGACUAAGCUAUAGCACUCUGCAUUCGUUGGUUUAUUUAUUUAUGGUUUGUAUCUGGUAGAAAAUAUUAUAACAUCCCAAAGGUAAAGGUAUGAAACUGGAUUAGCUUAUCUGCACAUCCAAUAAACUCUAGAAUUUGGAUAUGUAAUUCAACAAUGGGAAAUAAGAACACUAUUUCCUUUAAUCUUUGUAAAAAGAAAAUUCAAUAAGAAUGACCAACCAAGCACAAAACCGGAGAAUCGUAAUCUUCUGUACCGUACCAGCAGUUUUCCAUAACAAUUCCCAUUUUCCUUUAAGACUUUUUUGGUUAUGUACUUUGCAUGACAUUAGACCAAAGAACCAUCUUUUCUAGACCGAACACUGAAUCUGUCUAACUAUCUACAGCUUGCUGUUGUCUAGUCAAUUUUGAGAAAGCCCAUUGCUUCGUCCCAACCUUCAAAGUCUCAACGACAACACUACAGGUCUACAGCAGAUGGCUGCUACGCUCAGUCACAACUCACAACGCGUUCAACCUAAUCAGCAUAUGCGUUCGACCAGAAUUAAUCGAAACCUGCAACAUUUGGGCCGCAACACUGAAUCUAACUAUCUACAUCGAAGCACUGAGAUACAACAUGCUCAAAGAAGGAUGGGAUUAACAGCUUACCAUGGCAUCGGCGGCAGAGGGCAGGCGUGCCGUGGGAGGGCGCGCGCGCAGCGGUCAGGAUCUCUGCGUGCUGCGGCAUCCACUGAUGCCGUCGCCCUCGUGGGCAUCCGCGGGACAUGACGGAUCGGGAAUAGGUUGGGAGCUUGACUGGGAAGCAGACAACGAGUCAGAAAAUCAGGGCAACCGUCGCGGGAGACAUGGGCCUUCGAUGGGCCGAU
Molecule: long non-coding RNA, 4060 nt
Filed under: Setaria italica (foxtail millet)
Lineage: Eukaryota; Viridiplantae; Streptophyta; Magnoliopsida; Poales; Poaceae
Description: long non-coding RNA (SITA_LNC003963)
Source: RNAcentral